This 495-nucleotide long non-coding RNA is filed under the name Pan troglodytes (chimpanzee). Its description in RNAcentral is "long non-coding RNA NONPTRT009530". The record is from RNAcentral. Lineage: Eukaryota; Metazoa; Chordata; Mammalia; Primates; Hominidae.
GCGGAAGGCGUCGCGCUGGCUACUCUGGUACCCCCAGGACGGGGCAAGUCUCAGUGAGGAGGCAGGGUCUCCACGCACUGGAAUAGUGUCAAACCACACACAAGGGCACAGAACCCAGGGACCCAGGGCGGCUGAGACACGCAGCUGGUGAUGGCCCUCAGGAUGGUGUCAACCAGUAUGUAAUCACUUUCCACAGGGCACCAACUGGACAGAGGCCUCCGGUCAGCCUCACUCUGACUGCAACCCCCUCUCACUAGACAGCAUCACCUGGACACAGAGCCUCACCUAGUCUGUGUCCCAUGGACACAACUUUGCUUUGGACAGUGACACCAAGAAUACUCACCCCUUUACUUAGCCAGACCACAGGCAGCCACCUGGACACAAACAUCUCUCCAGAGUCACCCUCCACAUAGACUCCACAGCAGAACUCCCAGGGAGGCACUGGGGCAUGGCUUCAGAGCACCAGGCAGCCCUCCGCGGUGCCCAGCACCCGCU